GGGGAUUUAGCUCAGUGGUAGAGCGCUUGCCUAGCAAGCUCGAGUCCCCA
RNAcentral lists this transfer RNA (50 nucleotides) under Rattus norvegicus (Norway rat). The record is from Rfam by way of RNAcentral. Lineage: Eukaryota; Metazoa; Chordata; Mammalia; Rodentia; Muridae.